This is a long non-coding RNA of Molossus molossus (Pallas's mastiff bat), 883 nucleotides long. RefSeq lists it as uncharacterized. The transcript is spliced from 4 exons. The record is from RefSeq and is a predicted model, not a curated record. NCBI's taxonomy places the organism in Eukaryota, Metazoa, Chordata, Mammalia, Chiroptera, Molossidae.
CUGGGUCUUUAGGCGAUUUGCAACCUCAUCUAUUAUUUUAUUUGUUCUUUCAUGAAUUCAACCAUCUGACACUUUGAAGUGCUUUUCCGGUGUUCUGUGCUGUGAUAGGUAUGGGGGAUACAGAUCGACUCCACCACAGCCUAGCCUCGCAGGAGCCCACAGACGGGCGGCAGAGGAAGAUGUGCGAAUAAUCCGUGCAGUAAGUGCACAACAAGAGGCCCUCGUCCCAGACAUGGGGGAAGAGGGAUUGGAAAAGGCUCCUGGAGAGGAAACCUGAGCCACGCUCUAAGGAGAAACAGAAUUUAGUGGAGUAGGGAGCGAUGGGGAAGCAUUCGGGCAGAGGCAGCCGCGUGUGCAGACUGCUAGUGAGCCGCUGAAGAAGACGGUCCGGAUCGGCCAAGUGGCUCGGAAGGGCCUGGACAGGAAGGUUCACCUACAGAGGACUCUGAAGACCCCUCUCUCAUCUGCCCCCAGAAAUCACAUGACUGUUGCGUCCCUUGGGAAGCCUGAGGGGAACAGGACGGCCACACUGGGCACUGGCCCACACUGGCAUGCACAACGAGACACCUGCCUAGGAACUGCAAAGAAGUGUUUACGAGCCAAGGCCCGAGUUACUAGGAGGAGAGGCAGAUGGCUGUGGGCUAAUUCCUGAAGUGCACUUCUGGGGACCAUCAGCUCGGGCUCCCAGGCUGACAUCCCACACAGGCUACAGCUGCCGUGGUUCAGCUCACACCGCAUCCAUGUGCUCCGUGAACCCAUUCCUGAUGACUCCAGCCCAUACUGAUCUGACUUAUACCAGCUGAGAAGCUCAGUUACUGCUAUGACCCUCAGAUGGGCACUACACUGUCUGUGGCCGUGCUCACCCUCACUCUGCGUGGGUCUC